RNAcentral lists this ribosomal RNA (401 nucleotides) under bacterium. RNAcentral's name for it is "partial 16S ribosomal RNA". It matches the Rfam family "Bacterial small subunit ribosomal RNA", at positions 355 to 775 of the family's 1533-position model. The record is from RNAcentral.
UGGGGAAUUUUGCACAAUGGGGGAAACCCUGAUGCAGCGACGCCGCGUGAUUUAGAAGGCCUUCGGGUUGUAAAAAUCUUUUUUACGGGAUGAAAAUGACAGUACCGUAAGAAUAAGGUCCGGCUAAAUACGUGCCAGCAGCCGCGGUAAUACGUAUGGACCGAGCGUUGUCCGGAAUCAUUGGGCGUAAAGGGUACGUAGGCGGCCUAGUAAGUUAGAAGUGAAAUAAUAUAGCUCAACUAUAUAAAGCUUUUAAAACUGCUAGGCUUGAGAGAUGGAAGGGAAAGUGGAAUUCCUAGUGUAGCGGUGAAAUGCGCAGAUAUUAGGAAGAAUACCGGUGGCGAAGGCGACUUUCUGGUCAUCAUCUGACGCUGAGGUACGAAAGCGUGGGUAGCAAACAG